GGGCUUCUUCUUGGCGCCUCAGCCGUGAAUUUACCUCAGGAAACGGGGCCUCGUUUGGCGCCCAGUUGAAGAGUUGAAAGAGGAGAGAGACGCCUUUCCUUUGGGGAGUCACUUUUACCUCAGGAAAGGCUUUUCUUCCCGUCCAGAGGACCCUCUCUCUCCCACUCGAUUUUAGAAAUUUCUUUAUCGAACCUUUACCUCAGAAAAGCCUUGUGAAAUAGAAAGAAGAAAAUGCCAAUUUUAUUUAUUAAGAGAUUGUCACCUCAGACUUUACCUCAGAAAUGGCCAAGCCUUGUGAAACGGAAGGGAGAAACAAAGGCAAAACUUUUGAAAAUUAGCACAGCUUUUUCUGAAGGGACCAGCGCUGAAUUCAAGUCAAAGGGAAGAAAGGGAAGAAACAAAAGGUCGAAGAGACAGAAGACAGAAGAUGCUUGAAGACACUCUCGCAAGGACACCGCCCGCCCCCCAAAAAAGGUCAUUGUCAGGGUAAUGGGUGUCAGGCUAGGCAUUUCAUGUCUAUCUUUGCAAUAAAAAACAGGCUACCUGUGUGCUAGGCUUUUGCAUGAAGAACACGGUUCCCCUCGUGUGUGGCAUCGAAGGUUCCCACUCGGGAACGGACGGGUCCUCCCUUUGUUCUAGGCAGAUGAUGGGGGUUUUCCUAUACAAGCCGUAGGGGCCACAGCUUGGGGGGCAGCGGGGGGCCCGGCCCUGGCACCGCGGGGAGCAGCACACCUUACGGGCAUUUUAAAAGCUCCCUUAAACUUAGACAGUGGCUAGCAAUAAAAAUAUUAAUACCUUAACUCACCUACUAACCCUACUAACACCAUUCUAACUAGGGCAGGCUGGCCUUUUAAAUAGGACUGUGUUUUGCCUGCUGGCAAGAACCAAGCUGGGAGGGAAGGGGGCCUCCUGGCCCCCCAUAGAAGGGCUCCCCUAGAAGGACAUUCAAAAGGCCCGCAAGGUGUCCUGAGAGCAGCCCCUGGGGCCCUCAGUGUGCCCCCCACGGUGCCAGGGCUGGGCCCCCCGCUCUCCCCCAACCCAUGACCCCUGCCGCCUGUAUCUCGUCCGCCCAGGGCCAACGGACGCCCCCUCCCUCCCCGGGCGGAGCUUCGGCGCCACACACAAGGGGAGGCCAGCCGUGGCCGCCAGAACAUGGCCAACCUGGUUUUGGACUGCAAACAUAGGCAUGUAGGGACCCCCUUUUAUUUAUGUAAGGCCACCCACCCAGGGGACCUGGUUAAAGGGGAUCCUCUAUUCUUAAAGUAAGGCCUAUAGAGAUCUCCUAUCCAGAAACUAAGGCGGCUUGGCCUAUAGAGAUCCCCUUUUGUUAAACUAAGGUGGCCUGGCCUAUAGAGAUCUCUUGUUGUUAAACUAAGGUGGCCUGGCCUAUAGAGAUCUCUUGUUGUUAAACUAAGGUGGCCUGGCCUAUAGAGAUCUCUUGUUGUUAAACUAAGGUGGCCUGGCCUAUAGAGAUCUCUUGUUGUUAAACUAAGGUGGCCUGGCCUAUAGAGAUCUCCUAUUCUUUAAGGUAACGCCAGGCGAUGUGGAGAUCCCUGGUUCUUUUAACCCUUAAGGCCAACCGUGGGGAGAUCCCUGGUUCUUUUAACCCUUAAGGCCAACCGUGGGGAGAUCCCUGGUUCUUUUAACCCUUAAGGCCACCCGUGGGGAGAUCCCUGGUUCUUUUAACCCUUAAGGCCAACCGUGGGGAGAUCCCUGGUUCUUUUAACCCUUAAGGCCAACCGUGGGGAGAUCCCUGGUUCUUUUAACCCUUAAGGCCAACCGUGGGGAGAUCCCCGGUUCUUUUAACCCUUAAGGCCACCCGUGGGGAGAUCCCUGGUUCUUUUAACCCUUAAGGCCAACCGUGGGGAGAUCCCUGGUUCUUUUAACCCUUAAGGCCAACCGUGGGGAGAUCCCUGGUUCUUUUAACCCUUAAGGCCAACCGUGGGGAGAUCCCUGGUUCUUUUAACCCUUAAGGCCAACCGUGGGGAGAUCCCUGGUUCUUUUAACCCUUAAGGCCUGCCUGGGGAGAUAUCCUAUUCUUUUUUCAUGAAAAGUCGGGUAUAGACCUUCUCUUUUCUCUCCCGUUUCAUGUGCCUGGACUCCCGGAGGGCUCCUGCCGGACACCGUCUCCCAUCGGCCGAGAGGGAUCCUUCCUGUUUGGAAAGCAUCUGCUACACAGGUAAAAAGAAGAUUCCGGGAAGGAGAUUCCUACAGCGGAGCCCUAAAGCCAGGUGAGACGUUCCUUCCAACCUCCACGGCUGCUUUGCACACACACACAUGACACACACAUGACACACACACACACGCAUAUACAGCUGGGGGCCCUCAGGGACUCUCCCCCCAAUAGAUCGGGGACUCCCACUCCGGCAAUUGGCCAUUGGAAAUGCCUUGAAGCAGUUUGGGGCUUCCGGCCAAGCGCUCGCAAAGAGAACCCAUUCAAGGUAUACGUGGAGCCCCUUUUAUUUAUUAUUUAUUGACAGCAUUUCUAUUCCGCCCUUCUUUCUCACCCCAAAGGGGACUCAGGGCGGAUCACAUGACACAUAUAGGCAAACAUUCAGUGCCUUUUAACAUAGAACAAAGACAAACAAACAUAAGCUCCGAGCGGGUCUCGAACUCAUGACCUCCUGGUCAGAGUGAUUCAUUGCAGUUAUAAUUGCAGCUGGCUUCCUCUCCCGCCUGCGCCACAGCCCGGGCCAACCUUGAUAAAAAGGGCCUGGCACGUGGAAAACUCUAUUUGUAAGGCAAACCCUCGUUAAAGAAGGUUUGCAAUUAAUUUAAAACCAGGCUUCUGAGGGACCCGCUGCGUUUAAAGCCAAACCUAGCAGGUGGGAACCUCUCUUGUUGGAUAAAGGAGAUCCCCUCUGGUUAACGUAAGGGGAGGGACCCUCCAUUUUUAAUAGGAUGCCUGGCAGAAUCUUAACCUCAAUGCAGGCCUAUGGGGUCCAGCCUUAUUCUCAAUGACUGCAUAGCCAGGCAUGAAGGGACCCCAUAUUAUUAAUUUGAAGCCUGGUAAAAAGAGAUUUAUGUAUUUAUUUAUUUACUACAUUUAUACCCCGCCCUCUUUUCCCUUAAAGGGGACUCAGAGCGGCUUACAAGUUAUAUUUAUAUACACUAUCUCAUUAGCAUAGCACAAUAUUAGCAUUAUAUAUUACUACAUUGCACUAUACCACUAUAUAGAAAUAUUGUUAGCAAUAUUACAUUUAAAAUAUAAUAUGUAAUUAAUAUUAUUGUAUCAUUGUUAGUAUUAUAUUGCUUAAUUUAUUUAUUUAUUUAUUUAUUUAUUAGAUUUAUAUGCUGCCCUUCUCACCCCGAAGGGGACUCAGAACGGCUUAAAAAUUAAAUUUACAUACAAUAUUAUAUUAUUAGCAUAGUACAAUACUGGCAAUAAAUUACUAUAUUGUACUAUAUCAAUAUAUGGUAGUAUUAUUAGUAAUAUUACAUGCAAAAUAUAAUAUAUAAUUAAUAUUAUUAUAUUGUAUUAUUAGUAUAUCGUAUUACAAUAUAAUAUUAUGAAUAUAUGUAUAUACAAUAUGUUGUAAUUAUUAUAUAUUAAAUUUUAUAUAUAUAUAUAUAUAUAUAUAUAUAUAUACACACACACACAGUAGAGUCUCAUUUAUCCAACAUAAACGGGCCAGCAGAAUGUUGGAUAAGCGAAUAUGUUGGAUAAUAAGGAGGGAUUAAGGAAAAGCCUAUUAAACAUCAAAUUAGUUUAUGAUUUUACAAAUUAAGCACCAAAUCAUCAUGUUAUACAACAAAUUUCACAAAAAAAGUAGUUCAAUAUGCAGUAAUGCUAUGUAGUAAUUACUGUAUUUAUGAAUUUAGUACCAAAAAAUCAUGAUGUCUUGAAAACAUUGUCUACAAAAAUGCGUUGGAUAAGCGAGUGUUGGAUAAGUGAGACUCUACUGUAUAUAAAAAUUAGAAUAGCAUGUUAUUAGGGGAGGAGCAUCUUAAUUAUUAGAUGUCAGUAUUAGUCAUUAGAUGUUAAUAUUAGUUAUUCAUAUUAGUAUCAAUAUUACAUUAAUAUACAAUAGAGCAGGGGUCCCCAAACUAAGGCCCGUGUGCGGGAUGCGGCCCAUCGAAGCCAUUUAUCCGGCCCCCACAGCACAACCCUUAUUAUUAUUAUUAUUAUUAUUAUUAUUAUUAUUAUUAUUAUUAGCAUUGAGGCUGGGUGGCCAUCUGUCAGGGGUGCUUUGCUUGUGCUUUCGGUGCACAAAGGCAGAAAGGGAUUGGACUCAAUGGCCAACCCUUCCAACCCUCAUAAUUAUUAUUAUUAUUAUUAAUAAUUAUUAUUAUUAUUGCUUGGUGGCCAACUAUAGUCUGGCCCUGCAAUGGUCUGAAGGAUCGUGAACUGGCUCCCUGUUUAAAAGGUUUGGGGACCCCUGCAAUAGAGUAUAUUAUUAUCCUAGCACAAUGUUAUUAUGUUAUAUAGUAGUAUGUAUGUUCAUAUUAUUUAUUCAUAUUAGUAUCAAUAUGACAUUAAUAUACAAUAGAGUCUAUUAUUAUCCUAGCACAAUAUUCAUAUGUUCUAUAGUAGUAUGUUGUUGCUAGGGGGAGGGGCCCCCCACUGAUGGGGAGGGCCCCCCCACUGAGAUCCCCUGUCAUUAAUGUUAGACCAGGCAUUUAACGCCUACCUUUGCAUUCAAGAGCAGGCUCCUAGGCCUUUGCAUUCAAGAGCAGUGCGCUAGGCCUUUGCGCAAGGAACACCACCCACGGCUCCCCUUGUGCGUGGCGUUGAGGCCCCACUCGGUGACGGACGGGUCCUCCCUUUGCCCUGGGCAGGUCGUGGGGGGGGGGGGUCUCCCUGCACAGGCAGGGGGUCACGGCUGGGGGGAGAGCGGGGGCCCGGCCUUGGCACCCCCCUGGGGACCCGAGGGGCCGCUCUCAGCCCACGUCACGGGCAUUUUAAAACGUCCCCGGGAUGUAGUAGCUCAGAUUAAUCCCUGCACUAACCGCUAACCCUACUAACCCAGUUCUAACCCGGGCAGGCUAGGCUUUUAAAUAGGACUGUUUUUGCCUGUUGGCAAGAACCAAGUGGGAGGGGGCCUCCGGGCCUCCCGUGGGAAGAAGGGCUCCGGCCCCCCCGGCCCCCCGGCCCCUGCCCUGUGCUGGGAGCCCCCCGCCCGGGCCCCCAGAGGCCUCCCUGUGGUACCGGGCUUGGCCCCCAUCCGCUCUGCCCCCAUCCGACGGCCUAGGAAAGCCCCCCACCAUCCGCCCAGGGCCAACGGACGGCCCUCCCUCCCUCCCAGGGGCAGCCGCGUUCCUCACGCAAAGGUCUGGCGCACGGGAGCCUGUUUCUGAAUGCAAACGUGGGGCCCAGGACCCCCCCCCCCCCUUGUCUCCGUGCAGGGCCACCCCCCCAGGGACCCCCACAAAUGCCUGGUGACAGGGGAUCCUCUCCUCUUAGCAGGAGGAAAAGCCACGUGCGUAAAGCGGUGCCUUUGCUCCCGUCGUUCCCAAGAGCCCCCCAAAAGCGAGAUGCUCCCCUGGGUUCAGCCCUCCUGACCCCUGUCUUCUCCCUUGUUCCAUGUCUCCAAAAUCCCCGAGGGAGGGGCUCCUCCUGGACAAGAGCCAAGGACGGAAGGACGGACGGACGGACGGACGGAGAUCCCAGAGAGAGAGCGGAGAGCAGGACGCCUUGCCUUUUCGGAGCUGCUGAGGUCGACCCCUUUCCAACGAGGUCAGCUUUCAAGAAGAAAACUCUUCCCAAAAAAGUGUGUUCUGGUUAUUAUUCAAAGGCACAACGUUCAAUAUUUGACAGCAUUAAACAUCUAGAUUACAGGACAGUUUAUGUUACUGCAUUUUAUACACCUGACCUUGUUUUUACAAAUAAAGUACCUGUAUAAUUUUUGCCUCUCUAUAUAUAUAUUGUACUAUGCUCAGACUCAUUGUUCUGAUAUGCUGUUAUAUGGUUUAAUUGUUUAUAUUGUUUAUAUUUUUAAUGUAUGACUGUUUAUUACAUGUGACAUUGGGCUUGUUUCCCAUGUGAGCCACCCCGAGUCCUCCUGGGGGAGAUGGGAGCGGGAAUAUAAAAAUAAAGUAUUAUUUUGUAUUAUUAUUAUUAUUUAUAAUAUUUAUUAUAUAUAAUUUUCUUGCACCCCAAGUACCUCUGGCAAGUGCCAAAGAGUAUUUAACUCUGCCUACAUGGCACUAAAGUGUAUUUAUAUGUUGAUUGUUCCUAUUGAUUUUAUGUUAUGUUUUUUUUUGCUUUGUAUAAUAAGGCAUUGAAUUUUUGCCUUAAUAAUAAUAGUUUUAUGAAUGUUUUAAUGUCACUGAAUUUUGAAUUGAAUUGAAAUGUCAUUGUAAUUGUUUAUAUGUGUAUUUUCUAUUUGUAAGCCACCCUGAGUCUCCCCUUAUUGGGUGAGAAGGUUUGGGAAGAAAUACUGUCAUAAAUAAAUAAAUAAAUAUUCUGUGUC
Anolis carolinensis (green anole) is the source of this 6413-nucleotide long non-coding RNA. RefSeq lists it as uncharacterized. Lineage: Eukaryota; Metazoa; Chordata; Lepidosauria; Squamata; Anolidae. The record is from RefSeq and is a predicted model, not a curated record. The transcript has 3 exons.